This 699-nucleotide ribosomal RNA is filed under the name Chattonella subsalsa. Its description in RNAcentral is "eukaryotic LSU rRNA". It matches the Rfam family "Eukaryotic large subunit ribosomal RNA", at positions 38 to 656 of the family's 3401-position model. Lineage: Eukaryota; Raphidophyceae; Chattonellales; Chattonellaceae. The record is from RNAcentral.
GCAUAUAACUAAGCGGAGGAAAAGAAACCAACUCGGAUUCCCCUAGUAACGGCGAGUGAAGCGGGAAGAGCUCAUGUUGUAAAUCUGGAUGAGGGUUCCUCGUCCCGAAUUGUAGUCUAGAGAUGCGUGCUCAGCUACUCUCCAGGGCUAAGUCUGUUUGUGAAAGACAGUGUCAUGGACGGUGAUAACCCGGUUCUUGCCUUGGAUGUUGUAGCGUUUUGAGCCGUCCUCAACGAGUCGAGUUGCUUGGGAUUGCAGCUCUAAGUGGGUGGUAAAUUCCAUCUAAAGCUAAAUAUUGGUGGGAGACCGAUAGCGAACAAGUACCGUGAGGGAAAGAUGAAAAGAACUUUGAAAAGAGAGUUAAAUAGUACCUGAAACUGCUGAAAGGGAAGCGAAUGAAGUCAGUGUUGCUCUUUGUGCUCUGCAUCCUCCCUGCGGGGAUUGUGUAUCGAGGACUUUGAGCUUGUCAGGAUGAGUUCUCUGCCGCGGGAUAUGUUUUGUAUGCUGGAUGCUUUUUGCGGAACAUACAUUCUCUGUCGUGGCUUGGACUGAGGUUCCAUCUUGCCGUUGCCUGUGCGUUCCUCUCCCGUUGCUGUCUCUGUUCUACUGCUUGCAGUGCUCAGUUGCAGUAGUUGGACUGUGCGUAUUAUGCAUGCAAGGUCAGGAUCCUGACGAAAUGGCUUUAUUUACCCCGUCUUG